RNAcentral lists this unclassified non-coding RNA (275 nucleotides) under Paraglomus occultum. RNAcentral's name for it is "partial contains 5.8S ribosomal RNA and internal transcribed spacer 2". The stretch from base 1 to 65 matches the Rfam family "5.8S ribosomal RNA", at positions 84 to 154 of the family's 154-position model. The record is from RNAcentral. Lineage: Eukaryota; Fungi; Glomeromycota; Glomeromycetes; Paraglomerales; Paraglomeraceae.
GUGAAUCAUCAAAUUUUUGAACGCAAAUUGCGCCUUUUUCGGAAGGCAUGUCUGUUUGAGGGCACCAUUUAACAAAUAAUGUGCAGCGUUUUUGCUGCCCACGUUGAUGAGCUUUCCAAGAAUUUUAAAUUUUUGGUGGCGCCUAAUGAACAGCGGUAAAGUUUUUUUCAGUUCGGGUGUAGUAAAAUCUUUGCUUGGGUUGUGGAAAAACAUUAUUCGGCAAUGGGUGUGGCCAUUUCUUUUUAACCCUGCCCCAAUGCCCACUUUUUCCACGG